RNAcentral lists this ribosomal RNA (433 nucleotides) under uncultured bacterium. RNAcentral describes it as "partial 16S ribosomal RNA". It matches the Rfam family "Bacterial small subunit ribosomal RNA", at positions 29 to 507 of the family's 1533-position model. The record is from RNAcentral.
AGCGAACGCUGGCGGCAGGCCUAACACAUGCAAGUCGAACGAACUCUUCGGAGUUAGUGGCGGACGGGUGAGUAACACGUGGGAACGUGCCUUUUGGUUCGGAAUAACUCAGGGAAACUUGUGCUAAUACCGAAUGUGCCCUUCGGGGGAAAGAUUUAUCGCCAUUAGAGCCGCCCGCGUCUGAUUAGCUAGUUGGUGAGGUAACGGCUCACCAAGGCGACGAUCAGUAGCUGGUCUGAGAGGAUGACCAGCCACACUGGGACUGAGACACGGCCCAGACUCCUACGGGAGGCAGCAGUGGGGAAUCUUGCGCAAUGGGCGAAAGCCUGACGCAGCCAUGCCGCGUGAAUGAUGAAGGUCUUAGGAUUGUAAAAUUCUUUCACCGGGGACGAUAAUGACGGUACCCGGAGAAGAAGCCCCGGCUAACUUCGUG